RNAcentral lists this non-coding RNA (84 nucleotides) under Pseudomonas citronellolis. Lineage: Bacteria; Pseudomonadati; Pseudomonadota; Gammaproteobacteria; Pseudomonadales; Pseudomonadaceae. The record is from RNAcentral.
UUCCAUGGCGGACCGUGCGAGGAGGCUUCGGCCUGCCGGUUGUCUUGUGACGGUAUUCCUACCCUGGCACGGUCCGCCUCUCCC